UAGGGAAUCUUCCGCAAUGGGCGAAAGCCUGACGGAGCAACGCCGCGUGAGUGAUGAAGGUCUUCGGAUCGUAAAACUCUGUUAUUAGGGAAGAACAAAUGUGUAAGUAACUAUGCACGUCUUGACGGUACCUAAUCAGAAAGCCACGGCUAACUACGUGCCAGCAGCCGCGGUAAUACGGAGGUGGCAAGCGUUAUCCGGAAUUAUUGGGCGUAAAGCGCGCGUAGGCGGUUUUUUAAGUCUGAUGUGAAAGCCCACGGCUCAACCGUGGAGGGUCAUUGGAAACUGGAAAACUUGAGUGCAGAAGAGGAAAGUGGAAUUCCAUGUGUAGCUGUGAAAUGCGCAGAGAUAUGGAGGAAGACCAGUGGCGAAGGCGACUUUCUGGUCUGUAACUGACGCUGAUGUGCGAAAGCGUGGGGAUCAAACAGG
Molecule: ribosomal RNA, 429 nt
Filed under: Actinomycetes bacterium
Lineage: Bacteria; Bacillati; Actinomycetota; Actinomycetes
Description: Actinobacteria bacterium partial 16S ribosomal RNA
Rfam family: Bacterial small subunit ribosomal RNA
Source: RNAcentral